GAUGAACGCUGGCGGCGUGCCUAAUACAUGCAAGUCGAGCGAACAGACGAGGAGCUUGCUCCUCUGACGUUAGCGGCGGACGGGUGAGUAACACGUGGAUAACCUACCUAUAAGACUGGGAUAACUUCGGGACACCGGAGCUAAUACCGGAUAAUAUAUUGAACCGCAUGGUUCAAUAGUGAAAGACGGUUUUGCUGUCACUUAUAGAUGGAUCCGCGCCGCAUUAGCUAGUUGGUAAGGUAACGGCUUACCAAGGCAACUAUGCGUAGCCGACCUGAGAGGGUGAUCGGCCACACUGGAACUGAGACACGGUCCAGACUCCUACGGGAGGCAGCAGUAGGGAAUCUGCCGCAAUGGGCGAAAGCCUGACGGAGCAACGCCGCGUGAGUGAUGAAGGUCUUCGGAUCGUAAAACUCUGUUAUUAGGGAAGAACAAAUGUGUAAGUAACUAUGCACGUCUUGACGGUACCUAAUCAGAAAGCCACGGCUAACUACGUG
RNAcentral lists this ribosomal RNA (497 nucleotides) under uncultured bacterium. RNAcentral describes it as "partial 16S ribosomal RNA". It matches the Rfam family "Bacterial small subunit ribosomal RNA", at positions 28 to 507 of the family's 1533-position model. The record is from RNAcentral.